GCAUGUAAAUGGUGGUCCAAACUUGCAUUUUUCCCAAAUUUUUGGAACAAAUUGGAAAUUAGUUUUUGUGGUUUUGGUUGGUGACCCACGUGGACCACUCACACACACACAAACCCUUCCUCUCUUUUCUCUCUCGUGCUCUCUCUUCCUUGGACUCACUCUCUCUCCUUCCCUCACGUAUGGGCCAACAACAACACUAAUGGAAAGUUGCAGAUCGAGGGUUUAAAGGACACCAUCGUGUUCCUGAGGUUCAUACGAGUUGAAUGGUACCAUUUUUAGCAUAUAGGUAGCUUAAGGAGGUCCUUGUGAGGCUAGGAGUGGUUCGUUGGAAGAUUUUGGACAUCAGAAUAGCGAGAACAACGAGUUUUAAGUUUGGCUGGAUUAUCGGGGAUUUUUCCGGCGAGAUUCCGUGGGAUUUAGGUCCUAAAACUGUUAUUUCGCAUAUAGAGAAGACUUAUCCUGAGGACGAGCAUGGUCAAGGGCAACUCAGGGGCUACGACCCUUCGACAUACCAGUAAGCUUGCAGUUGGUGGGGUACGAGGAUCUUGGCGGUUCUGACAUAUUAAAAUAAUUGUAGGACAUCUUAUGGUACUAUAUGACUAGUACUUGUCCUACUGGACUGCACCUAGACUUCCUACGCUCUAAUUAGGUGUACUGACACUUGUAUUUCACUUUUAGCACUUCUGGCUUAUGAAUGCACUUUAGUAACUUUCGAUUUUUAUUUAUUCAUAUAUUUCUUGAUCUUGGUCGCCCUCAUGUGACUGUCAACAUGCCUUGAUCUUGGUCGGGGUGUGUCACUCACUCUUUUCAGAGAUAUUAACUUAAGC
Molecule: long non-coding RNA, 827 nt
Organism: Malus domestica (apple)
Lineage: Eukaryota; Viridiplantae; Streptophyta; Magnoliopsida; Rosales; Rosaceae
Source: RefSeq, a predicted model, not a curated record